Betta splendens (Siamese fighting fish) is the source of this 510-nucleotide long non-coding RNA. RefSeq lists it as uncharacterized. The transcript is spliced from 3 exons. The record is from RefSeq and is a predicted model, not a curated record. Lineage: Eukaryota; Metazoa; Chordata; Actinopteri; Anabantiformes; Osphronemidae.
CAGUAAAUUCUGCAGUGUAAAGUAUACAGUGACAAAAUCUGUGAACACUUCCAGAGUUCUUCCAACACCAACAAGAUAAAAUACAUCCACCAUUACAUCAAGUGUUGUUGUUAAUAUCUAGAGUUAGUCUCAUCAGUGUAAAAUACGCAGUGUCAGAGCAAACGAACACAGACAGUGUAGAAUAUUAACUCGGGACAGGUACACUGUACUCUGGAUGCUCCGCCCACCUCUGUCUCGUUUCAAAAAUCUUCAGACUGUUCUGGACGCCAUUUUCCUGCUAUGGAAGACUGUGGAGUUGAUGCCAGUUGUCAGUUUUAACAGAAGUCAUGUUGAUCAAAGCAAAACUGAACAAUGAGCAGAAAUACAUCAAGAUCAGUGAGCCAAACUUGGCCGAGUUCUUGAAUUCUGCCUUCAUGAAGUUUUCGAUGCCACCCAUCACAGACGGUGUUAAAGUCUUUGAUGAGACUGGAACAGAAGUGGAUGCAGAAGUGUUUGAGGAAGUACAGUAGC